GGGCCUGUAGCUUAGCCUGGCAACCCCCUUCUUUCUUCCAAAGAAAGAAGGCCGUUGACGGUUCAAGAAAGAAUCGUCGUGGCUUUUCUGAAAAGGAAAUAGGAAGGUGGUUGGGCAAUUGGAGCGCCAGUCUUAUAAACUGGUGGUCGUGAGUUCAAAUCUCACCUGGCCCA
This 173-nucleotide transfer RNA is filed under the name Microcaldota archaeon. RNAcentral describes it as "tRNA-Ile". The stretch from base 113 to 173 matches the Rfam family "tRNA". Lineage: Archaea; Nanobdellati; Microcaldota. The record is from RNAcentral.